CGCACGGGUGCGUAACGCGUGGGAAUCUGCCCUUGGGUCUGGAAUAACAGUUAGAAAUGACUGCUAAUACCGGAUGAUGACUUCGGUCCAAAGAUUUAUCGCCCAGGGAUGAGCCCGCGUCGGAUUAGCUAGUUGGUGAGGUAAAAGCUCACCAAGGCGACGAUCCGUAGCUGGUCUGAGAGGAUGAUCAGCCACACUGGGACUGAGACACGGCCCAG
RNAcentral lists this ribosomal RNA (218 nucleotides) under uncultured bacterium. RNAcentral describes it as "partial 16S ribosomal RNA". It matches the Rfam family "Bacterial small subunit ribosomal RNA", at positions 99 to 334 of the family's 1533-position model. The record is from RNAcentral.